Molecule: long non-coding RNA, 727 nt
Filed under: Chloebia gouldiae (Gouldian finch)
Lineage: Eukaryota; Metazoa; Chordata; Aves; Passeriformes; Passeridae
Description: Erythrura gouldiae (Gouldian finch) lncRNA (ENSEGOG00005003040.1)
Source: RNAcentral
UUCCCAAUGAACCAGUCGCAAGUGAAAGCCCUUGCCUGAGUGCCUCCAUUAGCCAGGUGUCAGAGCUCUGUUUUCAUUCCAGGCUUUUCUCUGGGAAGGGGUGUGUGCGCACCAAAAAGCACCACGGAGGAACUGGAGCCUUGGCAGGAGCAGGAGGGUGCCCAGAGGAGCUCUGCAAGGAAAGUGAGUGCUUUCACUCCUCUGUCAUCACCAGUCCCUGAGAGCCAUCACCACCCACCAACAGUUCCUUGAGAUAAGGCUGAGCCAGCUGGGAGAAGAAAGCCUUUGAUAUUCCCUGCCUUGCUGAGUCAGAUGAGUGACACCUGGCAGCUUGUGCACACUGCCACUGUGUUAACCUGUGUGCCUCUCCUUCCCUCCCUGCUCCAUGGGCACAACAUGGGAGCAGCAGGGACAGGUCCUGGGGAGAAAGAGGUGGAGCUCAGCUGUGGAGUUCCCUGAUCUUUCCAUGGAUAUUGGCGACUGCAGCACCUGGGAUCCACGGCACAACUCCUUCCUCCAGAGGUCAAAGCUGAGCCUACAAUUUCAAGCAGGAUAAUCACCUUUCCAAGGCAAUAACAUGCACUUCCCAAAAGCAGGUGGUUAAGAUGGCUCAGAAGCAAUUACAAGAAUGUGAUGAAAAAUUUGGUCCAUCAAUCCAGCUUCUGGACAUGGUAGGGAAGAGAUACCUUUCAAUAAAACAUCAAACACUGCCUGUUUUAUUUUGUGU